Molecule: ribosomal RNA, 1359 nt
Filed under: Ctenophora environmental sample
Lineage: Eukaryota; Metazoa; Ctenophora
Description: partial Bacterial large subunit ribosomal RNA
Rfam family: Bacterial large subunit ribosomal RNA
Source: RNAcentral
UCCGUGACGGCGUGCCUUUUGCAUAAUGAGCCUACGAGUUACCGUUGCUAGCAAGGUUAAGGACUUCAGGUCCGGAUCCGUAGCGAAAGCGAGUCUGAAUAGGGCGCUUUAGUUAGUAGUGGUAGACGCGAAACCGUGUGAUCUACCCAUGGGCAGGUUGAAGCUGUAGUAACAUACAGUGGAGGCCCGAACCGGUUGACGUUGAAAAGUCUUCGGAUGACCUGUGGGUAGGGGUGAAAGGCCAAUCAAACUCGGAAAUAGCUCGUACUCCCCGAAAUGCAUUUAGGUGCAGCGUUGAUUUAUAGUUUUAUAGAGGUAGAGCUACUGAUUGGAUGCGGGGGCUUCACCGCCUACCAAUUCCUGACAAACUCCGAAUGCUAUAAAAUGUUAAUCAGCAGUGAGGGCAUGGGUGCUAAGGUCCAUGUCCGAGAGGGAAAGAACCCAGACCAUCAGCUAAGGUCCCCAAAUGUAUGUUAAGUUGAAUAAACGAGGUUGAACUGCUUAGACAGCUAGGAUGUUGGCUUGGAAGCAGCCAUUCAUUUAAAGAGUGCGUAACAGCUCACUAGUCGAGCGGUUCGGCAUGGAUAAUAAUCGGGCAUAAACAUACUACCGAAGCUAUGGACUUGUAAAAGUGGUAGGGGAGCAUUGUAGUGUCGUCGAAGGUGAAGCGUGAGCUUUGCUGGAGAAGCUACAAAAGAAAAUGUAGGCAUAAGUAACGAUAAUGCGGGCGAGAAACCCGCACUCCGAAAGACUAAGGUUUCCUCAGCUAUGCUAAUCAGCUGAGGGUUAGUCGGGACCUAACGCGAACCCGAAAGGGGUAGUGGAUGGACAACGGGUUAAUAUUCCCGUACCUGCUCACGCUAAAAGUGACGGAGGCGUAUAUUUGGUGCGAACUGACGGAAUAGUUCGUUGAAGGGAGCGGUAACGCCCCGAUAGUACACUGAGGCUACGGCCAAGGUGAUAAUCCAGAGAAGCGACUUCCAAGAAAAGCAAGUGAAGCAGCCCGUACCGCAAACCGACACAGGUAGUUGGGAUGAGAAUUCUAAGGUGCUCGAGAGAUUCAUGGCUAAGGAACUAGGCAAAAUAGACCUGUAACUUCGGGAGAAAGGUCGCCCCCCUCCGGGGGGGCCGCAGUGAAAAGGUCCAGGCGACUGUUUAUCAAAAACACAGGGCUUUGCUAAAUUGAAAGAUGAUGUAUAAGGCCUGACACCUGCCCGGUGCUGGAAGGUUAAGUGGAGUUGUUAGCUUCGGCGAAGCAAUGAAAUGAAGCCCCAGUAAACGGCGGCCGUAACAAUAACGGUCCUAAGGUAGCGAAAUUCCUUGUCGGGUAAGUUCCGACCUGCACGAAUGGCGUAACGA